CGACUCGGCUCGUCUUGUCUCCCUCCAGGAUGGUGCGCAGCCGACACGGGCUUAUUGUGUGUAAUGACUACCUUUGCAACGGCUUAAACAAAUAUGUGACGCUGUGAUAUGCAUAAGGCUAUGUUGCUUGUUGGACGAAUAGAUUCCGCACCUACGGUCGCACAAUGCGCAAAGCGUUUGCUGUUGCAUUCACUUCAACUAGCGGGUUAUGUUGGCGUUAAAUGGAAGAAGGCUUUCGAUCGGGACUGAAAAUGUUCGACAAGGAGGUUUCUAAGCAACCCUGGUCCGCUUUGACUGAAUCACUUUAGUGUGUGUGUGUGUGUGUGUGUGUGUGUGUGUGUGUGUGUGUGUGUGUGUGUGUGUGUGUGUGUGUGUGUGUGUGGCACACACACGCCCCCUAGUCCUCUCCCAGGGGACUAGGAAUGUUCACUUGAUGCAUGACUUGGUUUCCCCACUUCUAGUAUUACUGAUUUAUUAGAUCACGUUCGUUCAUUUUGGAGUUAGUCUAGGGCUGAUUAAAUUUUGGAGCUGGUCUCUAAAGACCAGAGACCAGACCUCGAUGAAACGUCAGCUUGCUGCUGCAGAUGUGCACUGAUGGGGACAUUAGAACCAGGCUAAUGGAGCAGACAGGGAGAGGAGAACCGAGAACGUUUCACAAUGUUGCCACGCGAACCACGGGGAUCUGGAACAGGUGGUUUAACCCCGUCUCUGUGUGAGGGUUCUGGCUCAACCCGCUCCCGUCCAGGCUUAUCUCCCUGGUUUCCUCGGCUCCCGAGAUAGCGGUCCCCGCCACCUCCCUCUUACAUAACAACCCCCCAGCCAACAAGGCUUCCUAAUCCUAUCGGCUUCGCAAACACUCCACCGACAACAAGUGGCUGAGCGUUGGAACCGCCACUCAGAUCGGCCCUAAAUCAGAAUUGUGCGCUUUUAUUUUGACACGCUGUCGUGGAGCCAGGAGGAAUAGGAACCAGGAUCCUUUGGUUCUGCAGUUCCUUUGUGCUCCUGCAUGCCUGCAGCCAAGGACAGCCCACUCUGUUAGUGUUAUAGACGCUUGUUACAAGGAGGGAAAUAACAUCAUUCUCGUGAAUAUGAACAAGCCUGUUCGGGAAGCCCUUUGAUGGAGGCAAGAGGAUGGACCACGGCGGGUCCCAGGGCCAACCAGCCCCGCAGCCGCAGCCGCACCCCUCCCAGGGCCCCUUCCCCCAGUACUCCCAGUACCCCCAGUACGCCCAGUACCCCCAGUACCACCAGUACCACCAGUACUACCAGUACCCCCCGCCGCCGCCGCAGCAGCCGCAGCCGUACCAGCCGCAGCACCCCACCAUGACCCGGCUGUACGAGGUGCAGCGCGAGGUGGCCUCGCUGGGGCCCCAGGUGUGCACCUUCAGCGGCCUGCAGGACGAGCGCGAGUACAAGCGGCUGGAGCGCGAGCUGGCGCGCCUGCAGACGGACGUGGACGGGCUGGACACGGAGGGCCGCGGCGAGCUGCAGGCGGCGCGCAAGCGGGCGGCGCAGGAGCUGGAGGGCCUCCUGCGCUACCUGGAGGAGAACGCCCGCCACCCGUCCCGCCUGGCCAUCGAGGAGCUGAGCCGGGAGGCGCGGCGGCUGGUGGACGAGGGCGUGGUGGCGCCGCAGCGGGCGGGCGGCGCGCCCGAGAUCGGCGACGAGCUGGUGGACGCGCUGCAGGCGGUGGUGCUGCGGCUGACGCAGGUGAAGACGGAGGGGCGCGUGCCGCUGCGCAAGGCGCGCUACCGCGCCCUGACGCGGCUGUGCGCCGUGCAGGCGGUGGUGGAGGGGCGCACGCGGCAGCAGACGCUGUCGCUGCCGCUGUCGGGCGACACGCACGCCUCGGUGCACCGCGUGAACCAGGCCAUGGUGGAGGUGAGCGUGGCCCGCAGCCAGCUGGUGGCGCUGCUGAUGGGGCUGAGCGGGCGCGACAGCUGCGCCCACCUCUCCCGCGUGCUGACGGAGCUGCUGGUGGAGCUGGACGCCCUGGACGUGUCGGGCAACGCGGCCGUCAGGAACUACCGCAAGCAGGUGGUGGAGGAGAUCAACGGGCUGCUGAAGCACCUGGACCUGGAGGUGGAGGGCGACGACACGCGCAGGUACGACCUGGCGCAGAACGACUCCAUCCGGGAGAUCGAGGCGGUGCGCGGCCACGUGUCCCACCUGCGGGGCGAGGUGCUGCGCUACGCCGGCUCCCGGGACGAGAUCCGGCCCAAGGCGGAGCUGCAGAGCCUGCUCACCCACCUGGACCAGGUGGACACGGCCAAGAACCCCUGCAUCCGCGAGGCGCGCCGCCGUGCGGUCCUGGAGGUGCAGGCGCUGGUCACCUUCCUGGACCUCCGCGAGGCCCUGGCGCGCCGGCAGACGGGCCCCGGGGAGCCGCCCGCGCACCGGGCCGUGUGGCUGGUGCUGGGCAGCCUGUCGGAGCUCCAGGCGCAGGUGCUGGGCUUCGGGGGCAAGCGCGCCGACAAGAGCUACAUCCUGCUGGAGGAGCUGCUCACCAAGCAGCUGCUGGCCCUGGACGCCGUGGACCCCCAGGGGGACGAGAGCACCAAGGCCGCCCGCAAGCAGGCCGUCAAGUUCGCCCAGAACAUUCUGGGCUACCUGGACCUGAAGACGGACGAGUGGGAGUACUGAGCGUCCCCCCCGUCCCCGUCCCCCCCCCUCUCCCCCCGGGCGUCUCCAGGGCAGGGGGAAGCUCGGAGCAGGAAAAACGGGAACGCUUUGUAAAUAAACGGCUCCGUCCGGCGGUCCGCCGUGUGUAAAUACGGACUCCGACUCCCAGAAUACACUGCGGCGGCGUGUCGUGCUCCCUUGUUGUCGGUGUCGCCGUGGCGAGAAGCCACGGGCAAGAACAACACAUUUUGUGAGAUACACGUAAAAAAAACGUAUUCCAGUGACACUUUUGCUUUUUGAAGGUUUACAGAGUUUUUUCUAAAGAAUAUCCUGUAUGUGGUCGUAUGCAAGUUGUCCCGUUAUGUGUCCUCGUGUUUGUCGUCUAUUCGCCGGCUGCAAAAGCGCUAAAAAAAACAACACAUCCGUCUACGUCGCUGCAGGCGUCAGCGAGCCGCACAACCGGGCCCACGUUAACCCUCGCUCGCGACCCUCUACUGCGGUCCGACGGUAACUCACACAGAGAACCCCCGCGCGCUGAACGGCGAGGGGGGGGGGGGGGGGGGGCGGUGACGGCGGGAUCAGUGAUGGAGCGCCAUGUAGGUUCGGACGCCGGUGGACGUGGCGGCCACGAAACGUGCACCUUGACCCGCUCUUAAACCAAAAGAUUGGUUCUAUUUAAAGUGUGAUACCAAGGGUGCCGGCGUACGCACAACAUGGCAAGAAAGUCGACCUCAGACUGAUUCCACCUCCGGAGGCGGCUCCACAAACACAGAGGCGCUGCCAGGACUGACACCGCGGGGGGGGGGCAACGCUACGCUCACACUUGGACGGCCCCGGGGUGUUCAUUCGGAAGCAGGAUAUUAAAAGCGCCCCCAUUUAGAGAUCAGCCCAUUAGAGACACACUCCCGUCACAAUGGGGAGUGUCUACUCAUAUGUAUGAUGGGUAGUUCGGCCUACCAGUUAGUGCACUGCAGCAGGUAGGCUGGUAGGUUAUCAGUAGACCAGAGACUACCAGUUGGUACAAUCCACUGGUUACUGGUAGGUUAGUCAACUGGUUAUUGGUAGGUUAUCAGUAGACCAGAGACUACCAGUUGCUACAGUCAAGCUGGUUGCUGGUAGGUUAUCAGUAGACCAGAGACUACCAGUUGCUACAGUCCAGCUGGUUACUGGUAGGUUAUCAGUAGACCAGAGACUACCAGUUGGUACAGAACACUGGCUAGGCGAGUCUAUCUAAACUAGGCUCCAUGAGAGUUGACGCACGCUUGGAUCUGUUACAUUCGAGGCCAAAGUCUUUAAAGACCCUAAUUACAGCGAGAGCAGUUGGUGUUUUUACAGCACUGACGCUAGGUCACUCUACCAGCAUGCUAGCAUGAUUAGCUGGUGUGUGUGUGUGUGUGUGUGUGUGUGUGUGUGUGUGUGUGUGUGUGUGUGUGUGUGUGUGUGUGUGUGUGUGUGUGUGUGUGUGUGUGUGUGUGUGUGUGUGUGUGUGUGUGUCUUGAGAUACCAGCGCUGGCCUCCCUGUUAUUUUGUCACUGAGCAAACCUGAUUAAAGAAACCCUACCACCCCACCCGGUGUGGUGUUCAAAGUGCCCCCGACAGUGGCACCCCAAGUGGGAGUGUAGAUCCCUAUACCAGCCCACUAUACCACCUGUGUAUCCACUGGUCGGUUUAUCCAUCCAUCAUACUGGCUGGACACGCCCCCUUGUGAGGUCACUAAUGGGCGGGUUUUUGAAAUGGCUUGUAAUGGCUGAUCAACGUCACACACACUCGAACAGCAAAACACCAUUUCCUCUUCCUUCAGUCGUGACUGUGUGUGCACUGGCCUGUCGUCGGACUAGGGCGGGGUCCAGACAGAAAGCUCCUCAAGGGGGGGGGGUGUGACUGACCAGCGCUAGGGGGAGAGGGAGGUGUUGGGAGUAAGGUCAGGAGGACCUGGACUGGUAUGACGGCUGAAAGCAACACAUGACCUGACAGUUCGGUGGAUAGCCCUAGCUGAACAUAUUUAGCGGGCUGGCUGGUAGUUGCUAGCUGACCGUUGCUAGGUACAGUUGCUGGCUAGCUGGUAGUUGCUAGCUGACCUGAGCUGGCGACCGUUGCUAGGUGUAAUGGCUGGCUAGCUGGCAGUAGCUAGCUUCCAGGCGCCAGCGGUGAUGUGAUUACAGUUGACAGCGUUGGAGUCUCCGCUGGACUGCGGAGGAGGGAGGAGGAGUAUAGAAUCUCUGUGCCUUUAUUUAUAACCUCCCCUUUUGUCUGUUGAACAAAGACUCCACAACCACGCUUUCAAUGUCUUAAUGCACAAAACGUAGGAGAAUAGGACUGAAUGUUGGUAGUUAAUAUAUGUAUCCCCAAUAAAUAAAUUUGCACUAGUCA
RNA transcript from Gadus macrocephalus (Pacific cod), 4992 nucleotides. It is a transcript of the gene named BCL2 associated athanogene 5, with no coding region annotated. The transcript is spliced from 4 exons. The record is from RefSeq and is a predicted model, not a curated record. Lineage: Eukaryota; Metazoa; Chordata; Actinopteri; Gadiformes; Gadidae.